GGCCCCAUCAUCUAGUCUGGUUAGGAUAUUGGCCCUUCAAGCCAAAAACAUCGGUUCAAAUCCGAUUGGGGCUA
Molecule: transfer RNA, 74 nt
Filed under: Candidatus Cloacimonadota bacterium
Lineage: Bacteria; Pseudomonadati; Candidatus Cloacimonadota
Description: tRNA-Glu
Rfam family: tRNA
About the family: Transfer RNA (tRNA) molecules are approximately 80 nucleotides in length. Their secondary structure includes four short double-helical elements and three loops (D, anti-codon, and T loops).
Source: RNAcentral